Molecule: ribosomal RNA, 460 nt
Filed under: uncultured bacterium
Lineage: Bacteria
Description: partial 16S ribosomal RNA
Rfam family: Bacterial small subunit ribosomal RNA
Source: RNAcentral
CCUACGGGAGGCUGCAGUGAGGAAUAUUGGUCAAUGGACGAGAGUCUGUACCAGCCAAGUAGCGUGAAGGAUGACUGCCCUAUGGGUUGUAAACUUCUUUUAUAUGGGAAUAAAAUGUUCCACGUGUGGGAUUUUGUAUGUACCAUAUGAAUAAGGAUCGGCUAACUCCGUGCCAGCAGCCGCGGUAAUACGGAGGAUCCGAGCGUUAUCCGGAUUUAUUGGGUUUAAAGGGAGCGUAGGUGGAUUGUUAAGUCAGUUGUGAAAGUUUGCGGCUCAACCGUAAAAUUGCAGUUGAAACUGGCAGUCUUGAGUACAGUAGAGGUGGGCGGAAUUCGUGGUGUAGCGGUGAAAUGCUUAGAUAUCACGAAGAACUCCGAUUGCGAAGGCAGCUCACUGGACUGCAACUGACACUGAGGCUCGAAAGUGUGGGUAUCAAACAGGAUUAGAUACCCCGGUAGUC